AACGAACGCUGGCGGCAUGCCUAACACAUGCAAGUCGAACGAGACCUUCGGGUCUAGUGGCGCACGGGUGCGUAACGCGUGGGAACCUGCCCUUAGGUUCGGAAUAACUCCCCGAAAGGGGUGCUAAUACCGGAUAAUGUCUUCGGACCAAAGAUUUAUCGCCUUUGGAUGGGCCCGCGUUGGAUUAGCUAGUUGGUAGGGUAAAAGCCUACCAAGGCGACGAUCCAUAGCUGGUCUGGGAGGAUGAUCAGCCACACUGGGACUGAGACACGGCCCAGACUCCUACGGGAGGCAGCAGUGGGGAAUAUUGGACAAUGGGCGAAAGUCUGAUCCAGCAAUGCCGCGUGAGUGAGGAGGGCGUUAGGGUUGUAAAGCUCUUUUACCCGGGAUGAUAAUGACAGUACCGGGAGAAUAAGCUCCGGCUAACUCCGUG
Molecule: ribosomal RNA, 433 nt
Filed under: uncultured bacterium
Lineage: Bacteria
Description: partial 16S ribosomal RNA
Rfam family: Bacterial small subunit ribosomal RNA
Source: RNAcentral